This 621-nucleotide ribosomal RNA is filed under the name uncultured bacterium. RNAcentral describes it as "bacterial SSU rRNA". It matches the Rfam family "Bacterial small subunit ribosomal RNA", at positions 338 to 944 of the family's 1533-position model. The record is from RNAcentral.
CCUACGGGAGGCAGCAGUGGGGAAUUUUGGACAAUGGGCGAAAGCCUGAUCCAGCAAUGCCGCGUGAGUGAAGAAGGCCUUCGGGUUGUAAAGCUCUUUUGUCAGGGAAGAAACGGUGAGAGCUAAUAUCUUUUGCUAAUGACGGUACCUGAAGAAUAAGCACCGGCUAACUACGUGCCAGCAGCCGCGGUAAUACGUAGGGUGCAAGCGUUAAUCGGAAUUACUGGGCGUAAAGCGUGCGCAGGCGGUUUUGUAAGUCUGAUGUGAAAUCCCCGGGCUCAACCUGGGAAUUGCAUUGGAGACUGCAAGGCUAGAAUCUGGCAGAGGGGGGUAGAAUUCCACGUGUAGCAGUGAAAUGCGUAGAUAUGUGGAGGAACACCGAUGGCGAAGGCAGCCCCCUGGGUCAAGAUUGACGCUCAUGCACGAAAGCGUGGGGAGCAAACAGGAUUAGAUACCCUGGUAGUCCACGCCCUAAACGAUGUCUACUAGUUGUCGGGUCUUAAUUGACUUGGUAACGCAGCUAACGCGUGAAGUAGACCGCCUGGGGAGUACGGUUGCGAAAGNUUAAAACUCAAAUUGAAUUGACGGCUUGAGAGNGCGAGACGACGACGAGGGAGGAGG